Nomascus leucogenys (northern white-cheeked gibbon) is the source of this 84-nucleotide microRNA precursor. Lineage: Eukaryota; Metazoa; Chordata; Mammalia; Primates; Hylobatidae. The record is from Ensembl.
UGUAGAGAUAGGGUCUCAAUUUGUUGCCCAAGCUGGUCUCAAACUCAUGGUCUGGGCAACAAAGUGAGACCUUAUCUCUACAAG